AGCAGCCGCGGUAAUUCCAGCACCAAUAGCGUAUAUUAAAGUUGUUGCAGUUAAAAAGCUCGUAGUUGAAUUUCGAGAUCAAUUUGUUGGUCGUGCCUCGGUACGUACUGGCAAUUUUGAUUUCUCCCUUCUGAAGAACCAUGAUGUCAUUAAUUUGGUGUCAUGGGGAAUCAGGACCGUUACUUUGAAAAAUUAGAGUGUUUAAAGCAGGCUCGCGCUUGAAUGCAUUAGCAUGGAAUAAUGAAAUAGGACGUUUGAUUCUAUUUUGUUGGUUUCUAGGAUCGACGUAAUGAUUAAUAGGGAUAGUUGGGGGCAUUAGUAUUCAAUUGUCAGAGGUGAAAUUCUUGGAUUUAUUGAAGACUAACUACUGCGAAAGCAUUUGCCAAGGAUGUUUUCAUUAAUCAAGAACGAAAGUUAGGGGAUCGAAGACGAUCAGAUACCGUCGUAGUCUUAACCAUAAACUAUGCCGACUAGGGAUCGGAUGAUGUUAAUUUUUAAUGA
Molecule: ribosomal RNA, 501 nt
Filed under: uncultured Glomus
Lineage: Eukaryota; Fungi; Glomeromycota; Glomeromycetes; Glomerales; Glomeraceae
Description: SSU rRNA
Rfam family: Eukaryotic small subunit ribosomal RNA
Source: RNAcentral